Molecule: long non-coding RNA, 567 nt
Filed under: Penaeus japonicus
Lineage: Eukaryota; Metazoa; Arthropoda; Malacostraca; Decapoda; Penaeidae
Description: uncharacterized LOC122244304, transcript variant X2
Source: RNAcentral
UCGGCGAUGGUUUGCGCAUGCGUGUUGGCGCCCCUACUGUAUAGGUUGGUACGCGUGGGCGGGUCGAGCUCUUUGUCAAUAGAACUUGAAAUACGGCAGUGCACGAGCUUAAAUGAAACCACAUAAGGUUCUAGACUGCAAAACACCAACAUUAGUCACGUGAUGCAACACUACAGUCUCGGCCGCCGGAGUCUGAACGUGUAUGAUACCUGAACGUUUCUUGCGCAGCUGAGCCAAGGUCGCCCCGCGCAAGCACUCGCAGAGCAACACUCCUCCAAAUUCGCCACACAUAUCGCGUUCAAAAACGUAUUGGCGGCCGGACCUCGGACAAACACGUUCCAUUCCUGAGUGACUCCCUGGACGACACUCCUCAAAGAGCAAGUCACCUGAAGUGAAGUCUGAAAUCGACACAGACUUUCGCCAUUUUUCAAGUUCAGGUGCUAUACGUUUCUUUCUCUCCCUUUUCCCUCCCUUCCUUCCACCCUAUCACUCCCAAUCUCCGGCUCUCUCCCUCCCUCUCUCCCUAACUCUUCCUCACUCUCUCUCUCUCUCUCUCUCUCUCUCUCU